This 253-nucleotide ribosomal RNA is filed under the name uncultured bacterium. RNAcentral's name for it is "partial 16S ribosomal RNA". It matches the Rfam family "Bacterial small subunit ribosomal RNA", at positions 524 to 776 of the family's 1533-position model. The record is from RNAcentral.
UACGAAGGGGGCUAGCGUUGCUCGGAAUUACUGGGCGUAAAGGGAGCGUAGGCGGGUUAUCAAGUUGGAGGUGAAAGCCCAGGGCUCAACCUUGGAAUUGCCUUCAAAACUGAUAGCCUAGAGUAUGAUAGAGGUAUGUGGAACUCCGAGUGUAGAGGUGAAAUUCGUAGAUAUUCGGAAGAACACCAGUGGCGAAGGCGACAUACUGGGUCAUGACUGACGCUGAGGCUCGAAAGCGUGGGGAGCAAAAGGG